UGAAUACGAGACGCUAAGGCGACGAAGUAGUGUAUGUCAUACUUCCAAGAAAAGCUUACACUGUCAUAGAUAAAAAACGCCUGUACCAUAACCGACACAGGUGGGUAGGUAGAGUAUACUAAGGGGCGCGAGAUAACUCUCUCUAAGGAACUCGGCAAAAUAACUCCGUAACUUCGGGAGAAGGGGUGCCUUAUUCGUAAGGUUGCAAUAACAAGAUCCAAGCAACUGUUUAUCAAAAACACAGGUCUCCGCUAAGUCGUAAGACGAUGUAUGGGGGCUGACGCCUGCCCAGUGCCAGAAGGUUAAAGAAGUUGGUUAGCAAUUGCGAAGCUGAUAACUGAAGCCCUGGUGAACGGCGGCCGUAACAAUAACGGUCCUAAGGUAGCGAAAUUCCUUGUCGGGUAAGUUCCGACCCGCACGAAGGGCGUAAUGAUUUGGAUACUGUCUCGGAGAGGGGCUCGGUGAAAUAGACUUGUCUGUGAAGAUGCGGACUACCUGCACCAGGACAGAAAGACCCUAUGAAGCUUUACUGUAACUUGAAAUUGAAAUUGGACUUUAUUCGCGCAGUAUAGGUGGGAGGCGUUGAUUAUAAUCUUGUGGGAUUAUUGGAGCCAUCAGUGAGAUACCACUCUUGUAAUGUUAGAUUUCUAACUUUGAAUCAUUAUCUGGUCAAAGAACAGUUUCAGGCGGGCAGUUUGACUGGGGCGGUCGCCUCCUAAACGGUAACGGAGGCGUACAAAGGUUUCCUCUGAACGGUUAGAAAUCGUAUCUAGAGUGUAAAGGCAUAAGGAAGCUUGACUGUGAGACCUACAAGUCGAGCAGGGACGAAAGUCGGUCUUAGUGAUCUGACGGUACUGAGUGGAAAGGCCGUCACUCAACGGAUAAAAGUUACUCUAGGAUAACAGGCUGAUCUCCCCCAAGAGUUCACAUCGACGGGGAGGUUUGGCACCUCGAUGUCGGCUCAUCGCAUCCUGGGGCGGUAGUACGUCCCAAGGGUUGGGCUGUUCGCCCAUGAAAGCGGUACGCGAGCUGGGUUCAGAACGUCGUGAGACAGUUCGGUCCAUAUCCGGUGUAGGCGUUAGAAUAUUGAGAGGAGCCUUCUUUAGUACGAGAGGACCGAGAAGGACAUACCUCUGGUGUACCAGUUAUCGUGCCAACGGUAAACGCUGGGUAGCUAUGUAUGGAGUGGAUAACCGCUGAAAGCAUCUAAGUGGGAAGCCCACCUCAAGAUAAGUAUUCUCAUC
This 1244-nucleotide ribosomal RNA is filed under the name metagenome. Its description in RNAcentral is "bacterial LSU rRNA". It matches the Rfam family "Bacterial large subunit ribosomal RNA", at positions 1564 to 2818 of the family's 2925-position model. The record is from RNAcentral.